Molecule: ribosomal RNA, 429 nt
Filed under: Chloroflexota bacterium
Lineage: Bacteria; Bacillati; Chloroflexota
Description: Chloroflexi bacterium partial 16S ribosomal RNA
Rfam family: Bacterial small subunit ribosomal RNA
Source: RNAcentral
UAGGGAAUCUUCGGCAAUGGACGAAAGUCUGACCGAGCAACGCCGCGUGAGUGAAGAAGGUUUUCGGAUCGUAAAACUCUGUUGUUAGAGAAGAACAAGGACGUUAGUAACUGAACGUCCCCUGACGGUAUCUAACCAGAAAGCCACGGCUAACUACGUGCCAGCAGCCGCGGUAAUACGUAGGUGGCAAGCGUUGUCCGGAUUUAUUGGGCGUAAAGCGAGCGCAGGCGGUUUCUUAAGUCUGAUGUGAAAGCCCCCGGCUCAACCGGGGAGGAUCAUUGGAAACUGGGAGUCUGGAGUGCAGAAGGGGAGAGUGGAAUUCCAUGUGUAGCGGUGAAAUGCGUAGAUAUAUGGAGGAACACCAGUGGCGAAGGCGGCUCUCUGGUCUGUAACUGACGCUGAGGCUCGAAAGCGUGGGGAGCAAACGGG